GAGCCAUCUUAACCUAGCCGUUGCGUCAAGAUUUGCAAUUUGCAAAUAACUGGUUGGCUCGUGUCCCGCGGGUGCUUCCUGGCCUUUUU
This 89-nucleotide vault RNA is filed under the name Varanus komodoensis (Komodo dragon). RNAcentral describes it as "Vault RNA (ENSVKKG00000002822.1)". It matches the Rfam family "Vault RNA". Rfam says of the family: This family of RNAs are found as part of the enigmatic vault ribonucleoprotein complex. Lineage: Eukaryota; Metazoa; Chordata; Lepidosauria; Squamata; Varanidae. The record is from Rfam by way of RNAcentral.